AAGCAGCACGACCCGCGAAU
Molecule: ribosomal RNA, 20 nt
Filed under: Taralea oppositifolia
Lineage: Eukaryota; Viridiplantae; Streptophyta; Magnoliopsida; Fabales; Fabaceae
Also listed under: 1 other name
Description: partial small subunit ribosomal RNA
Source: RNAcentral